This 73-nucleotide transfer RNA is filed under the name candidate division MSBL1 archaeon SCGC-AAA382N08. RNAcentral describes it as "candidate divison MSBL1 archaeon SCGC-AAA382N08 tRNA". It matches the Rfam family "tRNA". From Rfam's summary of the family: Transfer RNA (tRNA) molecules are approximately 80 nucleotides in length. Their secondary structure includes four short double-helical elements and three loops (D, anti-codon, and T loops). Lineage: Archaea; Methanobacteriati; Methanobacteriota. RNAcentral also lists the same sequence under 1 other name. The record is from Rfam by way of RNAcentral.
GGGUCCGUAGGCUAAUUUGGCAAACCGCGGGAUUCCAAAUCCCGUCUUCCAGGUUCAAGUCCUGGCGGACCUG